Molecule: ribosomal RNA, 253 nt
Filed under: uncultured bacterium
Lineage: Bacteria
Description: partial 16S ribosomal RNA
Rfam family: Bacterial small subunit ribosomal RNA
Source: RNAcentral
UACGUAGGGUGCAAGCGUUGUCCGGAAUUAUUGGGCGUAAAGGGCUCGUAGGCGGUCUGUCACGUCGGGAGUGAAAACUCAGGGCUUAACCCUGAGCCUGCUUCCGAUACGGGCAGACUAGAGGUAUGCAGGGGAGAACGGAAUUCCUGGUGUAGCGGUGAAAUGCGCAGAUAUCAGGAGGAACACCGGUGGCGAAGGCGGUUCUCUGGGCAUGUCCUGACGCUGAGGAGCGAAAGCGUGGGGAGCAAACAGG